GAUGAACGCUGGCGGCGUGCCUAAUACAUGCAAGUCGAGCGAACGGACGAGAAGCUUGCUUCUCUGAUGUUAGCGGCGGACGGGUGAGUAACACGUGGAUAACCUACCUAUAAGACUGGGAUAACUUCGGGAAACCGGAGCUAAUACCGGAUAAUAUUUUGAACCGCAUGGUUCAAAAGUGAAAGACGGUCUUGCUGUCACUUAUAGAUGGAUCCGCGCUGCAUUAGCUAGUUGGUAAGGUAACGGCUUACCAAGGCAACGAUGCAUAGCCGACCGGAGCGGGUGAUCGGCCACACUGGAACUGAGACACGGUCCAGACUCCUACGGGAGGCAGCAGUAGGGAAUCUUCCGCAAUGGGCGAAAGCCUGACGGAGCAACGCCGCGUGAGUGAUGAAGGUCUUCGGAUCGUAAAACUCUGUUAUUAGGGAAGAACAUAUGUGUAAGUAACUGUGCACAUCUUGACGGUACCUAAUCAGAAAGCCACGGCUAACUACGUG
RNAcentral lists this ribosomal RNA (497 nucleotides) under uncultured bacterium. RNAcentral describes it as "partial 16S ribosomal RNA". It matches the Rfam family "Bacterial small subunit ribosomal RNA", at positions 28 to 507 of the family's 1533-position model. The record is from RNAcentral.